ACGGGUGAGUAAUGUCUGGGAAACUGCCUGAUGGAGGGGGAUAACUACUGGAAACGGUAGCUAAUACCGCAUAACGUCGCAAGACCAAAGAGGGGGACCCUCGGGCCUCUUGCCAUCGGAUGUGCCCAGAUGGGAUUAGCUAGUAGGUGGGGUAACGGCUCACCUAGGCGACGAUCCCUAGCUGGUCUGAGAGGAUGACCAGCCACACUGGAACUGAGACACGGUCCAGACUCCUACGGGAGGCAGCAUG
RNAcentral lists this ribosomal RNA (250 nucleotides) under uncultured bacterium. Its description in RNAcentral is "partial 16S ribosomal RNA". It matches the Rfam family "Bacterial small subunit ribosomal RNA", at positions 102 to 353 of the family's 1533-position model. The record is from RNAcentral.